This 374-nucleotide ribosomal RNA is filed under the name uncultured fungus. RNAcentral's name for it is "partial small subunit ribosomal RNA". It matches the Rfam family "Eukaryotic small subunit ribosomal RNA", at positions 30 to 432 of the family's 1831-position model. Lineage: Eukaryota; Fungi. The record is from RNAcentral.
GCUUGUCUCAAAGAUUAAGCCAUGCAUGUCUAAGUAUAGUACCUUAUACUGCGAAACUGCGAAUGGCUCAUUAAAUCAGUUAUAAUUCAUUUGAUGGUACUUACUACUCGGAUAACCGUAGUAAUUCUAGAGCUAAUACAUGACUAAAAGGGCUAGCCCUGCAUUUAUUAGAUACAACCAACCCUUCGGGUUUUGGCGAAUCAUAAUAACUGAGCGGACCGUAUUCGUACGGCGUUUCUUAUUAAUUUCUGCCCUAUCAGCUUUCGAUGGUAGGGUAUUGGCCUACCAUGGCGUUAACGGGUAACGGAGAAUUAGGGUUCGAUUCCGGAGAGGGAGCCUGAGAGAUGGCUACCACAUCCAAGGAAGGCAGCAGG